GCUCGAGUGGCGAACGGGUGAGUAACACGUGAGUAACCUGCCCUUGACUUUGGGAUAACUUCAGGAAACUGGGGCUAAUACCGGAUAGGAGCUCCUGCUGCAUGGUGGGUGUUGGAAAGUUUCGGCGGUUGGGGAUGGACUCGCGGCUUAUCAGCUUGUUGGUGGGGUAGUGGCUUACCAAGGCUUUGACGGGUAGCCGGCCUGAGAGGGUGACCGGCCACAUUGGGACUGAGAUACGGCCCAG
This 244-nucleotide ribosomal RNA is filed under the name uncultured Actinomycetales bacterium. RNAcentral's name for it is "partial 16S ribosomal RNA". It matches the Rfam family "Bacterial small subunit ribosomal RNA", at positions 89 to 334 of the family's 1533-position model. Lineage: Bacteria; Bacillati; Actinomycetota; Actinomycetes; Actinomycetales. The record is from RNAcentral.